Myotis davidii is the source of this 74-nucleotide non-coding RNA. The record is from Rfam. NCBI's taxonomy places the organism in Eukaryota, Metazoa, Chordata, Mammalia, Chiroptera, Vespertilionidae.
ACCAGUGUGGCUCAGUGGAUAGAGUGUUGGUCUGUAGGCCAAAGGGUCACAGGUUCGAUUCCUGAUCAAGGGCA